This 82-nucleotide transfer RNA is filed under the name Diaphorina citri (Asian citrus psyllid). It matches the Rfam family "tRNA". Rfam says of the family: Transfer RNA (tRNA) molecules are approximately 80 nucleotides in length. The record is from Rfam by way of RNAcentral. Lineage: Eukaryota; Metazoa; Arthropoda; Insecta; Hemiptera; Psyllidae.
GCUUAUAUAGUGAAAAAUACAACAUACAUAUCACACCAGGCUUGCACGCCGGAGGUCCCGGGUUCGAUUCCCGGUGGGAUCG